UACAGGCUUAACACAUGCAAGUCGAGGGGCAGCAUGGUCUUAGCUUGCUAAGGCCGAUGGCGACCGGCGCACGGGUGAGUAACACGUAUCCAACCUGCCGUCUACUCUUGGACAGCCUUCUGAAAGGAAGAUUAAUACAAGAUGGCAUCAUGAGUCCGCAUGUUCACAUGAUUAAAGGUAUUCCGGUAGACGAUGGGGAUGCGUUCCAUUAGAUAGUAGGCGGGGUAACGGCCCACCUAGUCUUCGAUGGAUAGGGGUUCUGAGAGGAAGGUCCCCCACAUUGGAACUGAGACACGGUCCAAACUCCUACGGGAGGCAGCAGUGAGGAAUAUUGGUCAAUGGGCGAGAGCCUGAACCAGCCAAGUAGCGUGAAGGAUGACUGCCCUAUGGGUUGUAAACUUCUUUUAUAAAGGAAUAAAGUCGGGUAUGGAUACCCGUUUGCAUGUACUUUAUGAAUAAGGAUCGGCUAACUCCGUGCCAGCAGCCGCGGUAAUACGGAGGAUCCGAGCGUUAUCCGGAUUUAUUGGGUUUAAAGGGAGCGUAGAUGGAUGUUUAAGUCAGUUGUGAAAGUUUGCGGCUCAACCGUAAAAUUGCAGUUGAUACUGGAUAUCUUGAGUGCAGUUGAGGCAGGCGGAAUUCGUGGUGUAGCGGUGAAAUGCUUAGAUAUCACGAAGAACUCCGAUUGCGAAGGCAGCCUGCUAAGCUGCAACUGACAUUGAGGCUCGAAAGUGUGGGUAUCAAACAGGAUUAGAUACCCUGGUAGUCCACACGGUAAACGAUGAAUACUCGCUGUUUGCGAUAUACAGCAAGCGGCCAAGCGAAAGCGUUAAGUAUUCCACCUGGGGAGUACGCCGGCAACGGUGAAACUCAAAGGAAUUGACGGGGGCCCGCACAAGCGGAGGAACAUGUGGUUUAAUUCGAUGAUACGCGAGGAACCUUACCCGGGCUUAAAUUGCAGAUGAAUUACGGUGAAAGCCGUAAGCCGCAAGGCAUCUGUGAAGGUGCUGCAUGGUUGUCGUCAGCUCGUGCCGUGAGGUGUCGGCUUAAGUGCCAUAACGAGCGCAACCCUUGUUGUCAGUUACUAACAGGUUCCGCUGAGGACUCUGACAAGACUGCCAUCGUAAGAUGUGAGGAAGGCGGGGAUGACGUCAAAUCAGCACGGCCCUUACGUCCGGGGCUACACACGUGUUACAAUGGGGGGUACAGAGGGCCGCUACCACGCGAGUGGAUGCCAAUCCCCAAAACCUCUCUCAGUUCGGACUGGAGUCUGCAACCCGACUCCACGAAGCUGGAUUCGCUAGUAAUCGCGCAUCAGCCACGGCGCGGUGAAUACGUUCCCGGGCCUUGUACACACCGCCCGUCAAGCCAUGGGAGCCGGGGGUACCUGAAGUGCGUAACCGCGAGGAGCGCCCUAGGGUAAAACUGGUGACUGGGGCU
This 1437-nucleotide ribosomal RNA is filed under the name uncultured organism. Its description in RNAcentral is "SSU rRNA". It matches the Rfam family "Bacterial small subunit ribosomal RNA". The record is from RNAcentral.